RNAcentral lists this long non-coding RNA (1116 nucleotides) under Bemisia tabaci. RNAcentral's name for it is "lncRNA ENSSSA2NGG007782". Lineage: Eukaryota; Metazoa; Arthropoda; Insecta; Hemiptera; Aleyrodidae. The record is from RNAcentral.
AUGCUGAACCAAACUUUUCCCUUGAAUGCUGCAGAUGCCAAUUUGAUACCCCAAAUUGAAAAUUUUGAUCCAUACAGAAAUUCAGUGAUUUAUUCUUACACUGAACAAAAUCAGCAAAGAGUGGAAAACACUACAGCGUCAUCUAACAACUUCUCUGCAUCAUUCCCAGAUGCAGGAACCGAAAUCUUUUCUUACACAACCUACAAUGAAAACUUCCCACUUCUAUAUAACUCGUCAAGUGGCUUUGUGGAAAUGCCCCCCGAGCAUUUAACCUCCUUUGCUAAUAGUGGCGAGAACAAGUCGUAUUACCAGGAAAAUGUCUAUCAUCCAGGCGAAGCAUUUGUGCAUUUGGAUAGUGCUGAAAAUCAUUUCAAUGGCUUUAAUAGUAACUCUGCCCAUAUCAGUGGACUUCCCAAUGAGGCACCUCUAGGUCAGUUUGUCUCAAGUGAUAAUGCGGCAUCCUAUCGUUGUGACAUCAAUGUUGAUGAAAAAAACUAUGGGCUCUCAGAUGGUAAUUCAGAUGAAGCUCAGCACGGUUCUCAUUUAAAUCCUGAGGAAGUUCCAGCUACUGCUGUGCCUACUUCAAAGGCUCUAGAUGAGUCACUUCAAGAUUUAGCAAGUCCGCGUGUACUAAGUGAUGCGCAACAAGAGUCUGAUUGGAAUACUAAUAUAAUAAAAGAAGAAUUACCAAGGAAAGACCGAGGGAAUGAAGAAGAGUUGUCAUAUUUUGCAGAAGGAGGGGACAGUCUAGUUGACGAGAACUUGUCAUCAGAGGAGGAAGGAAGUGACCCAGAAUGUGAAAGAUCUCUAUCUAUAAAUGAAGAAGAAUGCGGUGAAGAUACAUUUGAAGAAUCGUCUCUAGAAGUAAAUAAUUUAAAGCAUGAGGGGAUGUCAUCAACGGCAGAUCAGGGUUUGGUUAAAUCUGAUGAAGAUGAGACAGUGUUAAGCGAUGAUGAAGCAUCUGAGGAUGAAAUAGAAAACCAGAAGAGGCCUUUAACCAAAGAGGAAGUAAUUGACAGUGCAGAAGAGAGAGUACAAAAGAAAGCAAAAGUGAGGCUACUAGUCAAGUUAAGAGUGGUGUGGAAAAGCAGCCAGUUCAAGAAGAUGACAGUAUGA